CCGAUAGCGUACAUUAAAGUUGUUGCAGUUAAAAAGCUCGUAGUUGAAUUUCGGGGUUAGUAGGUUGGUCAUGCCUCUGGUAUGUACUGGUCUCACUGAUUCCUCCUUCCUGAUGAGCCGUAAUGCCAUUAAUUUGGUGUUGCGGGGAAUUUGGACUGUUACUUUGAAAAAAUUAGAGUGUUUAAAGCAAGCUAACGCUUGAAUACAUUAGCAUGGAAUAAUGAAAUAGGACGUUCGAUCCUAUUUUGUUGGUUUCUAGGAUUGACGUAAUGAUUAAUAGGGAUAGUUGGGGGCAUUAGUAUUCAAUUGUCAGAGGUGAAAUUCUUGGAUUUAUUGAAGACUAACUACUGCGAAAGCAUUUGCCAAGGAUGUUUUCAUUAAUCAAGAACGAAAGUUAGGGGAUCGAAGACGAUCAGAUACCGUCGUAGUCUUAACCAUAAACUAUGCCGACUAGGGAUCGGAUGAUGUUAAUUUUUUAAUGACUCAUUCGGCGCCUUACG
This 500-nucleotide ribosomal RNA is filed under the name uncultured Glomeromycotina. RNAcentral describes it as "partial small subunit ribosomal RNA". It matches the Rfam family "Eukaryotic small subunit ribosomal RNA", at positions 591 to 1092 of the family's 1831-position model. Lineage: Eukaryota; Fungi; Glomeromycota. The record is from RNAcentral.